This 216-nucleotide ribosomal RNA is filed under the name Glomeromycotina sp. RNAcentral describes it as "partial small subunit ribosomal RNA". The stretch from base 40 to 216 matches the Rfam family "Eukaryotic small subunit ribosomal RNA", at positions 686 to 864 of the family's 1831-position model. The record is from RNAcentral. Lineage: Eukaryota; Fungi; Glomeromycota.
GGGUCAGUAGGUUGGUCGUGCCACCGGUACGUACUGGUCUCACUGAUUCCUCCUUCCUGAAUAACCGAUUUGCCAUUAAUUUGGUGUUGCGGGGAAACAGGACUGUUACUUUGAAAAAAUUAGAGUGUUUAAAGCAAGCUAACGCUUGAAUACAUUAGCAUGGAAUAAUGAAAUAGGACGAUCGAUCCUAUUUUGUUGGUUUCUAGGAUUGACGUA